This is a long non-coding RNA of Spinacia oleracea (spinach), 2426 nucleotides long. RefSeq lists it as uncharacterized. The record is from RefSeq and is a predicted model, not a curated record. The transcript is spliced from 5 exons. NCBI's taxonomy places the organism in Eukaryota, Viridiplantae, Streptophyta, Magnoliopsida, Caryophyllales, Amaranthaceae.
CAAGUGAGUGAACGCUAAGAAAAAGGCGUGUAAUUGCAACCUCCUCCCAAUGUACGCGCUGCGUGACUUUUCUACUUCCUCUCCCUAGAACUCUCCUUCCUCUCCCUGAACUCUCCUUCCAUUUCAAACCCUAGAAUUCUAUCUCUUUGUUUCGUCCAAAUCGUUCAAUGGGAUUUCGAAAAAGAAGCUUCGAUCUGGUUCCUUCCAACUCCCCUCGUGCCAAAUUUCAACCCCGAUCUACAGAGAGAUAAAGAGAUGGCGGAUGAGCGAGAGGACGUCGAACUCGUACUUUACUUGAAGUUCUACCUUCACUUCGUCAAUUGUGCAUUUUUACCGAGACAUUUUUUCAUGGGGAUCAAGGAACCUGGGUGGAGCCUGGUGUGAUUCACCGUUCUAGUCGCUGUAAUGAUGGAUUUGAAACCUAGCAGGUGAUUUUCGUGUGCAUUGUUAUUGAAUAUUCAGAAGAAUGGAGUUCACGGAUGCUUAUAAGCAGACUGGGCCCUGCUGUUUUUCUCCCAAUGCUCGCUACAUUGCUGCUGCAUUUGAUUAUCGUCUGGCUAUUCGAGACACUCGGUCAUUUAAGGUGCUAUAGUUGUCAAUUUGCUAUUUUUUCGUUUUCUAUUUACUAUCUCUAGACUUAUGUACUGGAAUGUUAGUUUCUCGUUCCCGCAAACUGUUUCUUUGGCUCUAUUCUGAGUUCUGAUUACUUUGUACUUCAUCAUUAAAGGUUAAACAAAUUGUAAGGAUACUUAGAAGUUAGAACUUGGGAUCGUUUAUUACUUUAUAAAGUAUCAUUUUUGUUACUGGUGCUUACUUGUAUGGGUGUAUAAUUACAGUCUUCCACUUAAUCUAUGUUAACAUUUGAGAAGAUAUGAAAAUAGAUUGGGUUACAAGACUCUCCCAUAAAUUAAGAGGAGAAUUUGGACCACGUACAAGCCUAAGUUCAUGCACUUAUAACAGUUGGACCCUGUAUACCUUUGUUUAUAAAAUAUUAUCUAUUUAUAUAUUGAAAUUUUAUUACUUACUGUAGCCUACAGGGUAAGAGCGAUUCUAAGCUGAGAUUUCUGUUAGUUUUCCUAUCUGUUUCUCAUACUUUCAUACUCUCUGCUAUCAACUGAAUAUAGAAUGUGUAUUUCUCUUUCUAUACAGGUGGUGCAGUUAUUUUCAUGCUUAGAUAAGAUAAGCUACAUUCAGUGGGCCCUGAUUCUGAAUAUGUACUAUGUGGUCUAUAUAAAAAACCGACUAUACAAGUAUGGUCAAUAACUCAACCUGAAUGGACCUGUAAAAUAGAUGUUGAAACCUUCAAGGGAGGAGCAACUGAGCAAGAUGUUGUGGUAUGUCCUUAGCUGGCCGGCCUAACCAUUCAGUCAUCUGAUGGUACCUAGUGAACAUCAAACUCCCAUUUGAUGGUAUCUCUGGCUUUAAUAGAAUGACAACUGAAAGUCAGAACUUACUUAAUUUAUGACUAAAUAUUAUUUUUCUAUGUAUCCUUGAUGGUAGCAGAGUCUUCCCCUGUCUAAGUCUUUCUAAUAUCUGGAGCCACUUAAUAUUCUAAAUCAGGAAAUUUAUCAUAUGCCUGUGAUACCCAAUAAAGCCUGUCUAAUCUAAAGUUCCAAUAUUGGUUGAUAAAGCAUAUUUUUGAUCUUAUCACACUGAUGAGUGGUAAUAAAAGGUGUUGUCAGUGAAAUCUAAGAGUAGGCAUAUAUGAGAUGAAAAUUGAAAAAUAACUUUAUAUGAAAAGAACAGGUUGUUAAACUCUCUAUGUCUUUAUUGUUCUUCAAUCUUGACUUAGUUUCACGAGGACUCCAUUUGAUAAUUAUUAUGUUAAUGAAGGUUUUUUCAUUGCAGAAUAUGACGAGAUCACCUUUAGGAUGAUUAACUCAUAACUCUUCCUUAUAGAGGGUUAGCAGGCCUUAAAAUUCUGGAUGCCACAUGCAAGACAUUGUCGACAGUGGUUUCAUUCUAUGGUACUCCAUAGUGGUUGUACAUACUGCAAGUGAGUAUCUGUUUCUUUGAUGAGGAAUACCUGAUGAAGAAUGGUGCCUGACUAGUUGAUGAGGAAUACCUGAUGAAGAAGUUGGAGCUUCUCAGGAGAUUCAGUCUCAGUGGUAUGCAUACUAUGAAACACCAACUCCCAAAGUCAGGCGGAUAGAGAUAGAGAAGGCAGAAGACAUUGAUUUUGUCAACUUGGGUAUUAAACACAUGGACAUCGAUUUUGUGGGUUUUAUAGUAUUUUCCAUGUCACGCUUCCUAAAUUACGAAGAAAUGUAACAUAUAGACUAUUUGUGGAUGUUUUUGUUGGUUAUAAUUGUUGAUUUGUUAACGUGAGGCAGCUUUUCUGUAGCUGGAAUUAUUUUUUAUAAUAAAUAUGCAUUAUUUGCAAUCCCCACCACAUCAGGGGAAGUUGUAAAUAAUAAUUUUUUUUA